Molecule: ribosomal RNA, 229 nt
Filed under: uncultured Debaryomyces
Lineage: Eukaryota; Fungi; Ascomycota; Saccharomycetes; Saccharomycetales; Saccharomycetaceae
Description: partial 26S ribosomal RNA
Rfam family: Eukaryotic large subunit ribosomal RNA
Source: RNAcentral
GGAGGAAAAGAAACCAACAGGGAUUGCCUUAGUAACGGCGAGUGAAGCGGCAAAAGCUCAAAUUUGAAAUCUGGCACCUUCGGUGUCCGAGUUGUAAUUUGAAGAAGGUAACUUUGGAGUUGGCUCUUGUCUAUGUUCCUUGGAACAGGACGUCACAGAGGGUGAGAAUCCCGUGCGAUGAGAUGCCCAAUUCUAUGUAAAGUGCUUUCGAAGAGUCGAGUUGUUUGGG